Leptonychotes weddellii (Weddell seal) is the source of this 483-nucleotide non-coding RNA. The record is from RefSeq and is a predicted model, not a curated record. Lineage: Eukaryota; Metazoa; Chordata; Mammalia; Carnivora; Phocidae.
CUACAGGGGGUAGUUCCAUCCAAUCAAGUGUCGGAAAGCCCGGCCUGUCCCCGAGAGUGUAGCCAAUGGAACACGACUCCGGCAACACACCCGCCCUGAUCCACUGGGAACAAACCGCUCUGAGCCCUGAGGUGGGACCCUGAUCCCGGCGCCCAGAGCAAAUGAAGUCCGGCCGGAGCUGUGUCACAAAGUGAGAGGCUAUCGAGGCAGAUGAACCCUGAAAGUCAUAUAUUGAAGAACCACAAGACAGAAGGAGGCUGAGUUUCUGGGUCACUGUCAGACUAGAAAUGUUUAUGUGGACUGUUAGAGCCUGGCUGCUCUUUGCCACCUGGUCCCUCAACCACCUGGGGAGGCUUCUGUGAUAGCCUUCCACCACUCCAGUGCACACUUGUAGCAUGAUAGAAUUUUAGAUACGGGUGGAUCCAGGGAAUUUUCUGUUCUGCAGUUUCCAAGAGGGAAUUCUGAGGCAUCAAGAAAGAGGUA